RNAcentral lists this ribosomal RNA (261 nucleotides) under uncultured prokaryote. RNAcentral describes it as "partial 16S ribosomal RNA". It matches the Rfam family "Bacterial small subunit ribosomal RNA", at positions 524 to 784 of the family's 1533-position model. The record is from RNAcentral.
UACGUAGGGUGCGAGCGUUAAUCGGAAUUACUGGGCGUAAAGCGUGCGCAGGCGGUUUGCUAAGACAGGUGUGAAAUACCCGGGCUUAACCUGGGAACUGCGCUUGUGACUGGCAGGCUAGAGUACGGCAGAGGGGGGUGGAAUUCCUGGUGUAGCAGUGAAAUGCGUAGAUAUCAGGAGGAACACCGAUGGCGAAGGCAGCCCCCUGGGCCUGUACUGACGCUCAUGCACGAAAGCGUGGGGAGCAAACAGGAUUAGAUA